UACGGAGGGUGCAAGCGUUAUCCGGAUUCACUGGGUUUAAAGGGUGCGUAGGUGGGCAGGUAAGUCAGUGGUGAAAUCUCCGGGCUUAACCCGGAAACUGCCGUUGAUGCUAUCUGUCUUGAAUAUCCUGGAGGUGAGCGGAAUAUGUCAUGUAGCGGUGAAAUGCUUAGAUAUGACGUAGAACACCAAUUGCGAAGGCAGCUCACUACGGGAUCAUUGACACUGAGGCACGAAAGCGUGGGGAUCAAACAGG
Molecule: ribosomal RNA, 253 nt
Filed under: uncultured bacterium
Lineage: Bacteria
Description: partial 16S ribosomal RNA
Rfam family: Bacterial small subunit ribosomal RNA
Source: RNAcentral